AGUGAACGCUGGCGGCGUGCCUGACACAUGCAAGUCGCGCGAGAUUUUACGGGGCAUUGUAGGGUCUAGCGGCAGACGGGUGAGUAACACGUAGGGAACCUUCCUCAGAAUGGGGAAUAUCUCCGAGAAAUCGGAGUCAAUACCGCAUAAGACCACAGUUUGGCAUCAAACAGAGGUCAAAGCAGCAAUGCGUUUUGAGAUGGUCCUGCGGCCUAUCAGCUAGUUGGUUGGGUAAUGGCCUACCAAGGCUAUGACGGGUAUCCGGCCUGAAAGGGUGAACGGACACACUGGAACUGAGACACGGUCCAGACUCCUACGGGAGGCAGCAGUGGGGAAUUUUGGACAAUGGGGGAAACCCUGAUCCAGCGACGCCGCGUGGAGGAUGAAGGCCUUAACGGUUGUAAACUCCUUUUAGAGGGGAAGAAAAAAAUGACGGUACCCUCAGAAAAAGCCACGGCUAACUACGUGCCAGCAGCCGCGGUAAUACGUAGGUGGCGAGCGUUACUCGGAAUUACUAGGCGUAAAGCGUAUGUAGGCGGUCAUAUAAGUCUUUAGUGAAAUUUAUCGGCUUAACCGGGAAAGGUCUAAGGAUACUGUUUGACUUGAGUGUGGGAGGGGGAGACGGAAUUCCUGGUGUAGCGGUGGAAUGCGUAGAUAUCAGGAGGAACACCGAUGGCGAAAGCAGUCUUCUGGCCCAAUACUGACGCUAAUGUACGAAAGCUAGGGUAGCAAACAGGAUUAGAUACCCUGGUAGUCCUAGCUGUAAACGAUGUUCACUAGAUGUGGGAGGUAUCGACCCCUUCCGCGUCGACGCUAACGCAUUAAGUGAACCGCCUGGGGAGUACGACCGCAAGGUUGAAACUCAAAGGAAUUGACGGGGGCCCGCACAAGCGGUGGAGUAUGUGGUUUAAUUCGACGCAACGCGAAGAACCUUACCUGGGCUUGAACUGCUAAUGGUAAAAGCCGGAAACGGUGAUGACCCGCAAGGGAGUUAGUAGAGGUGCUGCAUGGCUGUCGUCAGCUCGUGUCGUGAGAUGUUGGGUUAAGUCCCGCAACGAGCGCAACCCUUAUCCCAUGUUGCCUGUAGCAAUACAGGAUCUCUGAGGAAACUGCCAUUGAUAAAAUGGAGGAAGGUGGGGACGAAGUCAAGUCAUCAUGGCCUUUAUGUCCAGGGCUACACACGUACUACAAUGGCCGGUACAGAGGGCAGCGAUAUCGCAAGGUGGAGCAAAUCCCUAAAAGCCGGUCUCAGUUCGGAUUGUGGGCUGCAAUUCGCCCACAUGAAGUAGGAAUCGCUAGUAAUCGCAGAUCAGCAGGCUGCGGUGAAUACGUUCCCGGGC
Molecule: ribosomal RNA, 1340 nt
Filed under: uncultured Termite group 1 bacterium
Lineage: Bacteria; Pseudomonadati; Elusimicrobiota
Description: bacterial SSU rRNA
Rfam family: Bacterial small subunit ribosomal RNA
Source: RNAcentral